AUCAUACUCCCUCUGUCCAGAAUUACUUGUCGUGAAAAUGAAUAAAAGUGGAUGUAUUUAGAACUAAAAUGCGUCUAAAUACAUCCAUUUCUAUGACAAGUAUUUCAGGACGGAGAGAGUACAUA
Triticum urartu is the source of this 125-nucleotide non-coding RNA. The record is from Rfam. Lineage: Eukaryota; Viridiplantae; Streptophyta; Magnoliopsida; Poales; Poaceae.